RNAcentral lists this ribosomal RNA (869 nucleotides) under uncultured archaeon. RNAcentral's name for it is "bacterial SSU rRNA". It matches the Rfam family "Archaeal small subunit ribosomal RNA", at positions 1 to 878 of the family's 1478-position model. The record is from RNAcentral.
CUCCGGUUGAUCCCGCCGGACCUGACUGCUAUCGGAUUGGUACUAAGCCAUGCGAGUCGUUGUAGCAAUACAAGGCGGACGGCUCAGUAACACGUAGUCAACCUAACCUAUGGACGUGGAUAACCUCGGGAAACUGAGAAUAAACCGCGAUAGAUCAUUAUGCCUGGAAUGGCUUAUGGUUCAAACAAUUUAUUGCCGUAGGAUGGGACUGCGGCCUAUCAGCUUGUUGGUGAGGUAAUGGCCCACCAAGGCUAUAACAGGUACGGGCUCUGAGAGGAGAAGCCCGGAGAUGGGUACUGAGACACGGACCCAGGCCCUAUGGGGCGCAGCAGGCGAGAAACCUUAGCAAUGUGCGAAAGCACGACUAGGUUAAUCCGAGUGAUUUCUGUUGAAGAAAUCUUUUGUCAGUCGUAAAACCACAGACGAAUAAGGGGUGGGCAAGUCUGGUGUCAGCCGCCGCGGUAAUACCAGCACCUCGAGUGGUCAGGAGGUUUAUUGGGCCUAAAGCAUCCGUAGCCGGCUACGCAAGUCUCCGGUUAAAUCCAGCUGCUCAACAGAUGGGCUGCCGGAGAUACUACAUAGCUAGGGAGCGGGAGAGGUAGACAGUAUUCUGUGGGUAGGGGUAAAAUCCACUGAUCCAUAGAGGACCACCAGUGGCGAAGGCGGUCUACCAGAACGCGUUCGACGGUGAGGGAUGAAAGCUGGGGGAGCAAACCGGAUUAGAUACCCGGGUAGUCCCAGCUGUAAACGAUGCAGACUCGGUGAUGGGUUGGCUUCGAGCCAACCCAGUGCCGCAGGGAAGCCGUUAAGUCUGCCGCCUGGGGAGUACGGUCGCAAGACUGAAACUUAAAGGAAUUGGCGGGGGAGCA